This 434-nucleotide ribosomal RNA is filed under the name uncultured bacterium. Its description in RNAcentral is "bacterial SSU rRNA". It matches the Rfam family "Bacterial small subunit ribosomal RNA", at positions 11 to 449 of the family's 1533-position model. The record is from RNAcentral.
GUUUGAUCCUGGCUCAGGACGAACGCUGGCGGCGUGCUUAACACAUGCAAGUCGAGCGGUAAGGCCCCUUCGGGGGUACACGAGCGGCGAACGGGUGAGUAACACGUGAGCAAUCUGCCCUUCACUUUGGGAUAACUCUGGGAAACGAGAGCUAAUACCGAAUACGACCACUUCAGGCAUCUGAUGGUGGUGGAAAGUUCCGGCGGUGAAGGAUGAGCUCGCGGCCUAUCAGCUAGUUGGUGGAGUAACGGCCCACCAAGGCUUCGACGGGUAGCCGGCCUGAGAGGGUGACCGGCCACACUGGGACUGAGACACGGCCCAGACUCCUACGGGAGGCAGCAGUGGGGAAUAUUGGACAAUGGGCGAAAGCCUGAUCCAGCAACGCCGCGUGAGGGAUGACGGCCUCGGUUGUAACGUACUUCUAGUAGGACGAA